This 2096-nucleotide long non-coding RNA is filed under the name Zea mays. RNAcentral's name for it is "long non-coding RNA (ZMAY_LNC002729)". Lineage: Eukaryota; Viridiplantae; Streptophyta; Magnoliopsida; Poales; Poaceae. The record is from RNAcentral.
AUGACUAAAACAUACUAAGUAUUAUUACUCGGCUAACAAGGAAAGAUAAACAUACGACCUGAACUGAAUUAACCAGUGCGCAUGACCAUAUAAAAAAAUAAACAAACUUCCUUUGACAAUAAGUUUCUAAUUAAAUCAUGGCUGCGCCUGGGCAGCGUUAUUGUGAGAGUGAAAGUGGACGUGCUGCUACUCCCCUCAUUCCCAACAUGUAUCAAGUACCUGCAUUGAGUAAUGCAAGAGUGAGAUGACACAUCUCAGCAAGUAAAAUAAUAUCAAACAGUUUAACCACAUAAGAACAUUGUUUUACCACCACUUAAUUCCACAACCUUCUUAUUACGAAGGUGCAGCACGUAUACAACGUACAACGCACCUAGUUACCACACCUCGCAGGUAGAAACCACAAUAGUAACAUAGUAAUGUCACACUUCAUAUAUUCCUCAUGAGUGCAAAUGUCUGCAAAUGCAAGGAUGACUUCUGCCUUCAUACCUCUAAGGAUAUGAAGCCGCAUCGUACCCCUCCUCGGGCAACGUACGAUGCUAAAAAUGUACCGGUACGGUCGGACCAUAAGAUCACGACAUAACUUCAAAAUGCAAGAUGGAUGAUGCGAUGUGCAUGUCAUGCCUACAACACUUCAUAUAACAUGAUUCAAAAAGACACUUCAACUUCAUCUAGAUGGGAAUCAACCACAUAUAUCAUUACCAAAUUAUGAUCAUCCACAAUAUUAGACAAUUGAGAAUUAAUACUUCCAAACAAAUAAACUUCAUCAUAGAAUUCAAUGAUUAACAUAAUUAAAACUUAUGCAUACUCAAUGACAGGGAAUAGGAUGCAAACCGAACGGUAGCAACCACCACUGUAUUUACUUGCCUUUACCGGAAGUUCGGGCAAAUCCCUAAGUACGAUCCGGAAGUCCACCACCUGUUUUUGACACCCAACUUAGUACACCAAUUUCACAUAAUCAGGCUCAUAAGCGACACCGCACCUACGCACAAACUCAAACCCCGCCGCGGGUUACAUCUCUCCCUACACCCACCAAACUGCAGCGGCGCUGCUUAAUAAUUUCAUAACUUUAAAAUUAUGACAGCAGUGGUAACAAACAAAAACUCCAGAGGCAUCUACAUAAAAUUCCCCACAAAUUUUGUAUACACUUUAUAAUUAAAUUCCAAUAUCUAAUUAGCCCAAAACAGUCCAGAAGAUGAACCCUGUAAUCUGUUUUUCUUUGUCUUUUGGACAGCGACAUACCCAGAUUCAAACAGCGAUAUCUUUUAAAAUAUAAUUCCAAAUCAUGCGCAUAAGUACUCAUUGGAAAGAUAAGACAAAUCCCUACAUGAUUACCAUACUGGUUAACACUAAUUACCCACGAAAAAUUCCCAGAAACUGCUAAUACCACUGCUGUUCACCCACCUGAAAAAUCUGUUUUUUUGGACAGCAACAUAACCGGAUUCAAACAACGAUAUCUCCUGAAUUAUAAUUCCGAAUCGAGCGCAUAAGUACUUGUUGGAAAGAUAACAUAAAGCCCUACAUGAUUCUCAUACUGAUUAACACUAAUUACUCCCGAAAAAUCCCUAGAAACUGCUAAUACUGCUGCUGUUCAUCCCCUGAAAAAUCUGUUUUUUUGGACAGCCACAUACCCGGAUUCAAACGGUGAUACCUUUCAAUUUAUAACUCCAAAUUGAGCGCAUAAAUACUCGUUGGAAAGGUAAGGUAAAGUUCUACAUGAUCCCCAAAAUGAUUUCCCUUAAUUCCUCACGAAAAAACACAGAAACUGCUAGACUACUGCUGUUCACCCACCACCUAAACUUCUGGACAGCCCCCCUCUACCCCAAUCGCAAACGCAACCUCUAAUCAAUUAAAUUGCAGCGCAAAUGAACAAGGGAUGAACACAAAAAUCACCUUGGAUUUUCCCCCUUUCCUUCCUCCCUUCUUCGCUCCACCAAAACGAUUGAAGACUCGCACCACGACGACGAUGAUCCGAGCGGCAAGGAUUGGCACCUUGGGAGGAGGGGAUUGAGAGGGGGGCGGCUAGGGUUUGGUGGCUGCAAGAAUUGAGAGAGGAAGAGAUGGGCAGGGGGGGCGGCGGCCAAGGGGGAAGAGAAGUG